Long non-coding RNA from Mastomys coucha (southern multimammate mouse), 421 nucleotides. RefSeq lists it as uncharacterized. The transcript has 3 exons. The record is from RefSeq and is a predicted model, not a curated record. Lineage: Eukaryota; Metazoa; Chordata; Mammalia; Rodentia; Muridae.
AGUUCAGGAGUCAGGAAGAUAUGGAAGAAGGGGGUAAUUUAGUGCAGAAUGACAGCAUUUGAUUCCUUAAGGUGAAAAGAUAGCUGCCCCCAGAUGGUUUUCAAAAUCUCAUUAGAAGGAAAAGGUGACAGGUGACAGGCUGCACCACAACUCUGUCUCUGGUGAGUCACAGUUUUACAGUUAACACACUACUGAUCCGUGGAAGAAAUGGAGAGUUACAUGAGUCCAGAUAUUUUGAACUUCAUCAAUUGUAUAGCUGGCUCUAAUGAUUUGAUCUUUAAGGUAAAUUUCUUCCUUUCUGGGACAUUGCAACAUCAGUUCAUCUUUCUCAUCACUGUGGCAGCAGAACUCAAAUAAGGAAUAAUUGGUUUAGAAUAAAAGUUCAGAGGAGGAAGCCACUGUGGACAAAAGAAGACACACA